Manihot esculenta (cassava) is the source of this 1650-nucleotide RNA transcript. RefSeq lists it as uncharacterized. Lineage: Eukaryota; Viridiplantae; Streptophyta; Magnoliopsida; Malpighiales; Euphorbiaceae. The transcript is spliced from 12 exons. The record is from RefSeq and is a predicted model, not a curated record.
UGGUUUGGUUUAGACGACCAAAUUCUUAUCUUCUCCCAUCGUCUCUUCCGUCGGCCUGAGCAAUGCCAAGAGGAACCGACCGCCUGAUAAGGAAUGUGAAGAAGUUCGCCAGCGAGCAAUACGAGAACUUUAUAUCUCGUCAUGGCCAGCAACUGAUAGACAUUUUCGAGUUCCCAAUUAAGGUGGUCUUGUCUCCUUUCACUCUUGCCUUGGACAUUGCUGGCUCUGCUCCUCGCGGCUUUGGUGUCCCUGAGCUCAUAUCUAAGCUCUCUUAUCUUUCUGUCUUUGCUGUUGCUACUCUUGGAACCUAUGAUAUUGCUUUGGAGCUUGGGAAGAAGGUGAUAUGUCAAAGGAAUUGUCGGACUUGCAAUGGGUGGCAGGCAUUGCAGUGUAUCAUGUGCAAAGGAUCAGGGAAAGUGCACUACCAAGUGAAAAAUUACACCUUAAGGAGUGGAGAGAAAGCAACAGCUGAAUGUGUUGCAGAUGCUAUUGCUGAGAAUCGAGCAGAGUUGGUGCACCUUCCAUCCACUGUGGAUCUCAAUACUCCUUUGCCGUCCAAAGACUGUCCAACUUGUGAUGGAACAGGUGUAAUGGGCUGUCCUGAAUGCAAAGACAAAUUACAAGUCAGGAUAUCUGCAGAUGAUAUUAUGGAACCUCCAUGGAAAGCCUAUAAUGUCUUGAGAAAGAUGGACUACCCUUAUGAGCACAUAGUAGACAGCAUGAAGGAUCCCAGUAUUGCUACAUUCUGGUUAUUUUCCUUGCCUCAAAUCGUGGGUGGAUUCAACUAUGAUGAUGACGUAAAACAAAAAAUUUGGUGGCAGUACAAGGAAUCUAUGCGAUAUGAUCAACUACGAGAUUUGGUAGCAAAGCGAAAACCGGGCUGGGAGCACUUGCAGGAAGCCUUGAUAUCAAUAGAUCCUGUCCGAGCCAGGGAAGAUCCUGUGAUUGUGAAAAAUAUCCCAUACUACAAUGCCAAAAAGGCACUAGAGGUAGAGGUCAUGAAAUUUGACCCUCCACCGCGACCCCAAAACUGGGGGGAGCUGGACCUUCCACUGAAUGCAUCAUCCUGGAGUGAGGAAGAUCUUAAAAAUCCAGAAAAAUUCUAUGAGAUGACUGUUCUUUUGAACGCACAAAGAGAAAUUGCUGAUAAAAUUUUGGAUGCACAAUGGGAAACUAAAUGGCGCCAGGAAAAGUUGAAUGAGAUUUUAGAGGAGAAGGUGCGGCCAUACGUUCAGAACAUGAAUAAUGGAGUCCUUUCCCAUCCUAUUGUAAUACAAUCACAGAAGGAUAAAAAGGUUGCACCAUUAUUUUGUUUCAAGCACUAGAUGGUUUACCUAUAUUAUGGACUCAAAGCGAGUAAAAAUAGGAAGACUAUUAUCUGGACUGUUACAAUCUAAUAUGAGUCGUCGGCAAAGGAGAUGGUGGUUUUUCUGAAGCUGUUUUAGCCAUUUUUUGUAUCUCAGUGGUGACUCUAGAUGUAUAAUUGGCAGUUCUCCCAAGUCAUUUCUUUCUUCUCUCUCUCUCUCUGUCACUUAUCUAUUUUUAUUUAAUACUUCUGUUGUAGCUUCACAUUAUUGUUGGUCAUAUCUCAUAUGUGGAUAUCUUUAAGACGUACAAUCAAUGUUGCUUCGAUAUAUUGUUUUUCUUUAA